AUGGGCUCCAUAGACCACGGGCGCCUCAACUCUUGGAUCAUUUUGCUCAUUCCCAAGGUGCCUGGGGCUUUUGACAUCCGCCAGUUCCGUCCAAUCACGGUCAUUAAUGUGAUAUUCCGGAUCCUGGUCAAAGGGUACGCGAAUAGGGUGACCCUUCUUGCCGACCGCAUUACCCACCCCAACCAAUCUCCAUUCAUCCAAGGGCGUUAUAUUCUGGAUGGGGUGCUUGUUCUUCAUGAAGUCCUCCAUGAGGUCUGGUCUAAACACCUCAGGGUGGUUUUCCUGAAGAUCGAUUUCCGUAAGGUGUACGACAUUGUUAGUUGGCCCUUCCUUCGGGAAAUUCUG
Molecule: ribosomal RNA, 345 nt
Filed under: Triticum aestivum (bread wheat)
Lineage: Eukaryota; Viridiplantae; Streptophyta; Magnoliopsida; Poales; Poaceae
Description: partial small subunit ribosomal RNA
Source: RNAcentral